CCUACGGGAGGCAGCAGUAAGGAAUAUUGGACAAUGGGCGCAAGCCUGAUCCAGCCAUGCCGCGUGAAGGAUUAAGGUCCUCUGGAUUGUAAACUUCUUUUAUAGGGGACGAAAAAAGGGCAUUCUUGUUCACUUGACGGUACCCUAUGAAUAAGCACCGGCUAACUCCGUGCCAGCAGCCGCGGUAAUACGGAGGGUGCAAGCGUUAUCCGGAUUCACUGGGUUUAAAGGGUGCGUAGGCGGGCAGGUAAGUCAGUGGUGAAAUCCUAGAGCUUAACUCUAGAACUGCCAUUGAUACUAUCUGUCUUGAAUAUUGUGGAGGUAAGCGGAAUAGGUCAUGUAGCGGUGAAAUGCUUAGAUAUGACAUAGAACACCUAUUGCGAAGGCAGCUUACUACGCAUAUAUUGACGCUGAGGCACGAAAGCGUGGGGAUCAAACAGGAUUAGAUACCCUGGUAGUCCACGCCCUAAACGAUGAAUACUCGACAUACGCGAUACACUGUGUGUGUCUGAGNGAGANAUAGUAUCCUACCGUGGUUAGUUAGUCGCGAGAGAGAGACAAGUUAGUUAGUUAGUUACGGCGNGAGACGNGCCGACGGACGACGACGAGGGAGGUAGGAG
RNAcentral lists this ribosomal RNA (620 nucleotides) under uncultured bacterium. RNAcentral's name for it is "bacterial SSU rRNA". The stretch from base 1 to 532 matches the Rfam family "Bacterial small subunit ribosomal RNA", at positions 338 to 873 of the family's 1533-position model. The record is from RNAcentral.